AGUAAAAAUUAUAACUUGCAAACACGAUUGGUCUUUUGAUAAUGUUUUCCUUUAUUUACGCUGCCAGCUUUCUCGCUUGCGCUGUCUGACUGCGGUUACGCUGCCAGCUUUCUCGUUUGCGCUCCCUGACUUUUUUAUGGCGUUAAAUUAGUGCCAAAACUCGCGCGCAUAAAAACCGAGUUUGUACAACAGCAAAAACAGGGACACUUACCAUUAAGUGGAUAUAUUUUUACAACAGCAAAAACAGGGACACUGAAGUUCAGUUUAUAUACCAGAUGGAUAUACGAAAGUAUUUUAAAAGAUUGAGGGAGAAGCAGGCCGGAGAGCGGCAGGGGAGCUGAUGCUGAGGGAGGAUGUACAGUAUGAUUAAGACUGGUGGAGCUUUACAGGGUGACAGUGUGACAAAAGCUCUGCAUGGCUGAGAACUGACAGGCCCCAGUGACUGGACUGAGAAAUCAGGUCGGAGCAUCGGAGCGAUUCGUCGUGAUGACAGCCCGCAAGGAAUUCCAUCCGUCAGCUCGGGAAUGCCAAGGCCGACAGCACCAAUCCCGGGAAAGCGAUCCUCCGCUUCCCGCCGAUUUCCAUUCGGGUCAAAUGGCACGGUGCCCUGGGCUAAUGCAGUCUCGCCUGGAGGUAUAGUGGGUUCAGAUACCAGGAGCCCUGGGGGGGGGCACCUAGCCUUUUUAAAGCCCCCCCUCGCCUCCUGAGGGCCCUGGUGACUGCGAAGGGAAGUCACACAAAGGGCCCCGUGGCACAUGAACCGUUCUGCAGCGUGGGGGGGUGGUUUGGGGCAAUGCAGCUUCGAGUAGGUCGUUAGUGCAGGUGCUCCCUGUCGCCCCCUAGUGUUUCACACUGUAGCGGGCCACUCCGCUGUCGGAUUGCUGUCCGAACUGCAAAAUUCAACAGCAAAGGGAACAGGGGCCGAGAGGGAGAGACACCAUAUCAGGGUGGCCAUUCCAGCAUUUUCUAUUCAGCCUGCAUCCGUGCGAUUUGUUUUGUCGCGGGUAACCGCCGCAUGGUUGCAGGGGACUCCACCGUCAUGUCAGAAACUAGAACAUUCUCCCUCCAAAACGUUCCAGCCAGGCAAGAAAAAAGACAAAAAAGCACAUGUAGUUCAGGAUCUUCAGAAGGAAUCUACUGCGUGGCUUCAAUUCGACUACCACGUUUGACAGGGAAUCUGAAACCCUUCAUCUGUCAAGGAAAGGCCAGAUGAGGGUGGAAAAUGUGGAAUAUGGAGUUAGUGUUCUUUAAGAUUUUGUACAAACUGGGUCAAAUCACUGCCUGAUAGUUGUGCCCCCCUGCCUACCCAGCUGUGAAAACAUAACGUUCUAGUGGUUGUUAUGCCGGUUCACCUCAGAGACCGUACAACUUUAUAGAGACGUAGGGUGAGCAGUAGCAUGGAUUGGAUUGAUUAGGGCGGACCGAGCAGCAAUAAGCCAUCAAGAGUGUUUAAAGCUUCAGAGGAAGGCUCCAGCAUUAUCUAGGGGGACGGGAUGCGAUUGAAUGUGAUGCCUUCUGGCAGCAAAUCAGUGCCUAUUGAAGGUUUUAAGGCGAUGGUGACCAUGAAUAAUGGAGACCUUAAGUCAGCCAAUGAAAGCUAAAUUGAACCAAUUUACCUUCCUUGAUUUGCCACGUUUUCCCGUGGAUCUUCGCAGGGCCCUGUGCAUCCACCAGCGCACGGGCUGCUGAUCAAGUUCAGGCGCAUGAGGGCCCAAUCUGCGCUGCCGUUUGGGGAGCCAGGGGGCACGGCGCCAGUAGCGUUAGCUUAGCGCCGCACUACCGGCAGAAUCCCACAGACAGGUUCAAUUCACACCUUCAUAAGCGGGCUGGGGGGUGUACGCUGCUCCAGUUCAAUGCCUCAAUCUGUUACCCCUCCCGUGGUGAUGUCAAGGACCCUCAGUCUUGUCACGCUGCUAGAUCCAUUACCCCCCCCUCGCAGUACUCUCUUUUUCCAAUAAGCUCUUAAUGAGAACCAGCCCAGGGUCUGCAAGGGAGCAGAGGGGGAUGACCUGAAAUCCAACAUUACGCCAUGCGCAGGACUGCUCAGGCGCCCUCAGAGGACGAGCUGAUAAACAAAACACACCCGUUCAACUGUUUACCGCUUAUUAGCAGUAAAAAGGAUCUAAUUAAGGCAUUAGAGUCCCCAUUAAAGGCGCUGGCAGUCCUUUAAGGUUGGGAAACCUGCAGACACGUCCUUUAAAGUCUCCACGGGGAUUUGCGUGCGUUUGCCAUGUUCUGGCUGCAUUACUGCAGCAUAAUGUGUAGCACAAAGCCAAAAUCUGCAUUUCAUUAAAAGUGUGGCACAUGCAGCUGUGUGAAAAACACGGAUACGGGUGAUUCCAGGGGAACUUCAGCUCCAUUGUCUAUGAUGACAGGGUUUGUACUGGGAAGAUAGGGGAGCAUACAUAUACACGAAAAGGUACCCUGCCGGACAGCGUUCACACCAUGCUGACACUCUGAGGGGCUAUUUCUGGCUGGCUGCCACCCAUUUGCCUUUUUUAAAACAAAUUAAUGGGGGGGUACAUGACAAUAACACGUCGGGGGGGGGGACAUACAUCGGGAGAGAGACCACAAGGGUAGGAGUCUCAUUAAGCUUAUUAGUUACCUUUAGUGUGUUUUUCAUUGUAGUAAUGACUAACAUGCAUUAAGACAGCAUCUCAGCAUCAGCAGGCACCGGUGAGGUAAACAAGACGCAGAUACAGAAAGAUUCCAUCGUUCACAUGGCAACCGGAGGAUUGUGAGCAUAUUGCAGCAUCACGGGGUUUGCUGUGGAGCUUAUAGUGUAAGGAGGCUCCAGCAUCGUGCUCCAGGAUGUCCCAACGCAGACGGCACCCCCAUUGGCGGGAUACAGCAGCCGGAAAUGUGCUACAGCUGCGGGUGAGCAUUAAUCUACAGAGCAGGGAUGGAGAGCGAUGGGAAGUGCCUUGGAUUCCUGAAUGACAUGCUCUCCAGUGCAUGGGGAGGAUCUUAGACACCAUGGGAGGACAAAAGCAAACAGUGGGGUGUGACAAAGGAAACCAGAACGAGAGGAUGGGUGACAGACCCAGGAAACUGGAUCGAGGGGACGGUGGACAGACCCAGGAAACCAGCACUUGGAGAUGGG
Paramormyrops kingsleyae is the source of this 3103-nucleotide long non-coding RNA. RefSeq lists it as uncharacterized. Lineage: Eukaryota; Metazoa; Chordata; Actinopteri; Osteoglossiformes; Mormyridae. The record is from RefSeq and is a predicted model, not a curated record.